RNAcentral lists this ribosomal RNA (468 nucleotides) under uncultured bacterium. Its description in RNAcentral is "partial 16S ribosomal RNA". It matches the Rfam family "Bacterial small subunit ribosomal RNA", at positions 28 to 507 of the family's 1533-position model. The record is from RNAcentral.
GACGAACGCUGGCGGCGUGCUUAAUACAUGCAAGUCGAACGGAAAGGCCCUGCUCUUGUGGGGCGCUCGAGUGGCGAACGGGUGAGUAACACGCGAGUAACCCGCCCCUGACUUUGGGAUAACUUCAGGAAACAGGGGCUAAUACCGGAUAGGAGCUCCUGCUGCAUGGGGGGGGAUGGAAAGAUUCGGCGGUUGGGGAUGGACUCGCGGCUUAUCAGCUUGUUGGGGAGGUAGUGGCUUACCAAGGCUUUGACGGGUAGCCGGCCUGAGAGGGUGACCGGCCACAUUGGGCCUGAGAUACGGCCCAGACUCCUACGUGAGGCAGCAGUGGGGAAUAUGGCACAAUAGGCGGAAGCCUGAUGCAGCAACGCCGCGUGCGGGAUGCCGGCCUUCGAGUUGUAAACCGCUUUCGCCUGUGACGAAGCGUGAGUGACGGUAAUGGGUAAAGAAGCACCGGCUAACUACGUG